AGAAAUAGUUGGAUUGGGUUUUUUCCCCUGGAGUACCAUGAGUUUCUGGAUCCAUUCUGUCUUUUUUGUCUUUUAACCUAAGUGGAUAAUCUAAGCAUCAAUGUUUUGGUUUUUUUUCCAAAAGUAAUCCUCUAAAUCAUGCAUAUGUUAGGCAGCUGAUCCUUUAGACUCAUCGGAGCAAAUAAUUAGUUUAUUUUGAGUCCUUGGCAAUAAAAAUACCUUCCCUUUUCAGAUUUCUGACAGAAAAUUUGAACAUUACUUCAUAACUGCUGGAAGAUUUCAUCUCUUAAUCCUGUAGUUGCCUCCAGUCAUAUGAAUUAUGGAAAUUACAUCAGUGAACACUUCAUCUUCUCUGGCUUUUGGAAUUGACAGAUGGGAGUAGGAGUUGUGUCUAUAAAGGGGGUAGUGAAAAUGAAUAAAGUGAUGGUUGCCUGCUGCCCCAGGGAGUUCUGCUGAUUGCAAUCUGUUAAAAAUUGUAUGAGAGAUUCUGCUGGAAAUGGGCAUGAUCCUAGAAAGCUGAACACAAGAGAAACAGGACACAAGACAAAAGGAACUGGAGGCAAGUAAACAUAAUCAUUAUAUUUCUGUUUUCAUUUAAGAACUAGAGAAUAGUGUAACAAUUCUUACACUGGAGGAGUACAAAAUGCGUUCUGGGAAGGGAAUAGGGGUGUGGCUGGGGUCUAUUUUGUGAGGGUCUUUGGCUGAGAACCCAGAUGUCUGGGAGCUACAUGGCAUCAGUUGGCCUCCCUGAGAGCAUGUGGGGAUGUUUCUUCCUGAGAGUUAACCACAGGUCUCUUUCUUGACUGUAGCUUUCUCAAUACUUUAUGCUCUGACUUUACCCCUCCUCUAGCAAUUUCUUCCCUGUUAACUCCUGUUGUUUAAUCUCAAUGACAGCUGUAC
This 900-nucleotide long non-coding RNA is filed under the name Cyanistes caeruleus (blue tit). Its description in RNAcentral is "lncRNA (ENSCCEG00000012380.1)". The record is from RNAcentral. Lineage: Eukaryota; Metazoa; Chordata; Aves; Passeriformes; Paridae.